GUGCUUGCUUCGGCAGCCCAUAUACUAAAAUUUGAAAGAUUCAGAGAAGAUUAGCGUGGCCUCUGUGCAAGGAUGGCACUCUUAUUUAUUUAUUAUUUCUCGAUAUAA
Hemicordylus capensis (graceful crag lizard) is the source of this 108-nucleotide small nuclear RNA. The record is from RefSeq and is a predicted model, not a curated record. Lineage: Eukaryota; Metazoa; Chordata; Lepidosauria; Squamata; Cordylidae.